CUCUCUCUCUCUGUCUCUCUCACCUUUAAUGAAGAACUAGAUUUUUUUUUUUGAGAAAGUUGAAAAUUUAGUAGAACGCAUAAUUAAAGAUACAGAAUGCUUGGGAAUGGAGUUGUUGGAAUCCUCUCAGAGUCUUUCAACAAGUGGGAAAGAAGGGUGCCUCUGACCCCAUCACAAUGUGCACGGCUUCUUCACGGUGGCAGGGAUAGGACUGGGGUGGCUCGCAUAAUUGUGCAGCCAUCCACCAAGCGAAUCCAUCAUGAUGCAAUGUACGAGGAUGUUGGCUGUGAAAUAUCAGAGGACUUGUCUGAGUGUGGCCUCAUUCUGGGCAUCAAAAAACCAAAGCUGGAGAUGAUUCUUCCUGAUAGAGCGUAUGCCUUCUUUUCCCAUACUCACAAGGCACAAAAAGAAAACAUGCCUUUACUUGAUAAGAUCCUGGCUGAAAGGGUGUCGUUGUAUGACUAUGAACUUAUCCCUGGGGACCAUGAGAAAAGGUUGCUGGCUUUUGGGAAAUAUGCUGGCAUAGCAGGACUUGUUGAUUUAUUGCAUGGGUUGGGACAGCGGUAUCUGAGCCUUGGGUAUUCUACACCAUUCCUCUCAUUGGGUUCAUCUUACAUGUAUUCUUCAUUGGCUGCUGCCAAAGCUGCCGUAAUUUCUGUAGCUGAAGAGAUAUCAACCCUGGGAUUGCCAUCAGCAAUCUGCCCAUUAGUUUUCAUAUUCAUUUCUUCAGGAAAGGCUUCACAAGGUGCACAAGAAAUUUUUAAGCUUCUGCCUCAUACUUUUGUCGAUCCAAGCAGACUUCCGGAACUAUUUGCACAAGCCAAGGAUGACAGCCCACCUUCAAGGACAUCAAAGAGAGUAUACCAACUAUAUGGUUGUGUUGUGACUAGUCAAGACAUGUUCAAACACAUGGAUCCUUCCAAAACAUUUGAUAAAGCUGACUAUUAUGCACAUCCAGAAUAUUACAAACCUGUCUUCCAUGAAAAGAUAGCCCCAUAUGCAUCUAUCAUCGUGAAUUGCAUGUACUGGGAGAAAAGAUUUCCUCGGUUGUUGAGUAAUCAGCAGCUUCAAGAUCUAACAAGGAAAGGGUGCCCACUUGUUGGAAUUGUUGAUUUAACUUGUGAUAUUGGAGGCUCUAUAGAGUUUAUUAACCAAACCACAUCAAUUGAUAGUCCAUUCUUCAGGUACGAUCCUUUAAAAGAUUCAUACCAUCAUGACAUGGACGGUAAUGGUGUGAUUUGUUCUUCUGUUGAUAUUCUUCCUACACAAUUUGCGAAGGAGGCUUCUCAACAUUUUGGAGACAUACUAUCCCAGUUUAUUGGCAGUCUGGCUUCUACAACUGACAUUAUCAAGCUACCUUCACAUCUAAGGAGAGCGUGCAUAGCCCAUGGAGGGGAAAUUACUCCAUUGUUUGAAUAUAUUCCGCGCAUGCGAAACUCUGAUACAGAAGAUAUGCCUGAAAAUUCUGCAAAUUCACACUCUAGCAAGAAGAAAUUCAACAUAUUGGUAUCUCUGAGUGGACACCUAUUUGAUCAGUUUUUAAUAAAUGAGGCUUUGGAUAUUAUUGAAAAUGCUGGUGGUUCUUUUCACUCGGUUAAGUGUCAAGUGGGUCAAAGUGCUAACGCUACCUCAUACUCAGAGCUUGAAGUUGGUGCAGAUGAUAGGGAAGUUCUGGAUCAAAUUAUUGAUUCUUUAACUUCUCUUGCUAAUUUAGAUGAGAAUCAAGGAGUUUUAGAUAAAGAAGCAAAUAAAAUUUCCUUGAAGAUUGGUAAAGUCCAAGAGAGUGGCAUUAAGAAGGGCUGUGAUAGAAAAUGGAAGGCUGCAGUUCUGAUUAUCGGUGCAGGUCGCGUCUGUCAACCAGCUGCUGAGUUCUUAGCAUCAAUCGGAAACAUUUCAUCUCAUGAGUGGUAUAAAGCUUGCCUAGAUACUGAAUUUGAAGAGGAGAACGGUGUCCAAGUAAUUGUUUCAUCUCUCUACCUGAAGGACGCUGAAGAGAUUAUCGAUGGAAUUCCCAAUGCAACAGCAGUUCAACUUGAUGUGAUGGAUCAUGAAAGUCUUUGCAAGUAUAUUUCACAGGUUGAGGUUGUUGUCAGCUUACUUCCCCCUAGUUGCCACAUUAUCAUAGCAGAUGCAUGCAUCAAGCUUAAAAAGCAUCUCGUCACCGCUAGCUAUGUUGAUGAUUCCAUGUCAGCACUAGAUGAUAGGGCAAAAGCAGCUGAUAUUACAAUUCUUGGUGAGAUGGGUUUGGACCCUGGAAUAGAUCACAUGCUGGCAAUGAAGAUGAUCAACCAGGCACAUGUUCGGAAAGGCAUAAUAAAGUCUUUUACUUCUUACUGUGGGGCACUUCCAUCUCCUGCCGCUGCGAAUAAUCCGCUAGCAUAUAAGUUCAGUUGGAGUCCUGCUGGAGCCAUCCGAAGUGGGCGCAAUCCUGCCAUCUAUAAAUCUCAUGGUGAAAUUGUAAAUGUUGAUGGUAAGCUGUCUGCGUUCAGGAAAAGUGGCAAAUCCAAAUGACACAGUUUGCUGUUUCCUACUAUAUUCCAACACAUGAUUUUUGGCUCUUUGCACAUAUCUCAAAAGCUUUGCUUUAUCUUAUAGCCUGAAUUCUAGAUUAUUUUUUACACUUUCAUAAUGCGUUUUUACAUUGAUCUCAAAUGAUGCUGAUGUGUUAUGGCUGCUAUCAUGUUACAAGGAAAUAUUGAUAAGGAUUUUAAAAAUAUGCCUUGACUGUUGUUGCUUUGUGAUUUCUGCUUCACUUUAUGGUACAAAUUGCAGGUGAUAGUCUUUAUGAUUCAGCUGUCAAAGUUCGGAUACCUGAUCUUCCAGCUUUUGCAUUAGAAUGUCUUCCAAAUCGUAACUCUUUGGUUUAUGGCAAAGUUUAUGGAAUACAAGAUGAGGCAUCAACCAUCUUUCGUGGAACCCUCCGUUAUGAAGGGUUUGGGGAAAUAAUGGGCACACUUGCAAGAAUUGGUCUCUUUAAUACUGAAUCUCAUCCAGUUCUUAGAUGUGAACAAAGACCGACAUUCAAAACAUUCCUUUGUGAACUACUCAAAUUUGAUGGUCAAAAUCUGGAUGGAGUUCUGUUAGGAGAACAGGAGAUAACUGAAAAGAUUGUCACACUUGGACAUUGCAAGGAAAAGGGGACUGCAGUAAAAGCAGCCAAAACUAUAAUAUUUUUGGGAUUUCAUGAAGAGACAGAAAUCCCUGCCUCCUGCCAAAGUGCAUUCGAUGUUACCUGUUUCCGUAUGGAAGAAAGGUUGGUGUAUUCCAGUGCAGAACAGGAUAUGGUGCUCUUGCAUCAUGAAAUUGAGGUAGAAUUCCCUGAUGGCCAACAUCAUGAGUAUCAUAGAGGCACUUUAUUGGAAUUUGGGACAACAAAGAAUGGGAAAACUAUUACAUCAAUGGCUCUCACCGUUGGUAUUCCAGCAGCCAUUGGUGCUCUGCUCUUACUAGAGAACAAGAUCAAGACAAGGGGUGUUCUAAGGCCUAUUGAACCUGAAGUAUAUGUGCCAGCCCUGGAUAUUUUACAAGCUCUUGGCAUUAAGUUGAUAGAGAAGAUCGAUUGACCUCGCGCUCAUUCUUUACGUAAAAAAUCUACAAGUCUCAAACGAUGACCAGUCCUCAAGCCUGGAACAGAUAAUUAAAGAGAUUGGGAAGCCGUUGGAUGUUGGCAUGAGCCAUGCAACACCUAUCUAUAUAUAUAAAUUUAUAUGUACCUGUGUUUUUUUUCCCUGUAUAGCUGUGGUUUGUUCAUUGUCCAUGUCUUAAGAUACAACGACUUUGUGAAUAAUGGAAUGGUGAGGCUUCUACUUUAAUAGCAUUCCAUUGUUACACAUUAUUCCAAUAAAAAUGAGGCGAGAUUUGUAAACUCGUCAUCUGUGGGUGUACAAAUUGUCAACCAGUUAAAAUUGCUAAUCGGUAAAUUAUUAAAUACGUUCGGUACACCAUUUUUA
This 3950-nucleotide unclassified non-coding RNA is filed under the name Hevea brasiliensis (rubber tree). The record is from RNAcentral. Lineage: Eukaryota; Viridiplantae; Streptophyta; Magnoliopsida; Malpighiales; Euphorbiaceae.